CUUAAACAAUAUUGAUAAUUAGAAUAAUUUUUAUUUCUUUUUUAUAUUUGCAGCAAUUUUCUUUCGUAUUUUGUUUUCAAUUGUAGUUUUUGAAACAAAAUUAUCCUUUUGACUUCAAUAACAUAAAACCUCUUAAUUAAAUUAUCACCGAAAGAUUAUGAAGCUAUAAUUAUGAAGUGGAUGUCGAAGAAAAAAUUGCCCUUGAGUUUUUUCGAUGGCGAAAAAAUUUUGGUCAUAUAUUAAAUCCCAAAAUCAGUGUACCCGACGUUAUUGCGCUCUGCGAAUGGUGAUGGAACAUUUUUACAAGCAACGAGUGAGAGUCAAGAAAAUUUUGAACAAUAACUGUUCUAAAUUUUCAUUCUCUGACAAUGGUUGGACUUUGAUGAUCUUCAGAUCAUAUUUCGGCAUAACUACUUACUUCAUCAAUGAUAAUUGGCAGCUACAAGCUUUAGAUUUAAUUCCUAAAAAUUCCACAAAAGUGGUCGACAUAGUGGAAAAGUUAUCGCGGAAGUAUUUUUAAAUGCAUAAACGAAUAUGGGUUAGAGAAUAAGAUUCAAGGAAUAACCUGAUAAUGUUGAUAAUGCAACGGCAAACUUUACAUUUAUGUGUGAAUUAAAUAUUUUUGAAGUGA
Molecule: long non-coding RNA, 631 nt
Organism: Dalotia coriaria
Lineage: Eukaryota; Metazoa; Arthropoda; Insecta; Coleoptera; Staphylinidae
Exons: 2
Source: RefSeq, a predicted model, not a curated record